AUGUUUUCAGGAUGUUUUAGGGGGUUUUUGGGGAGUAUUUUAGAGUCAUAUUCAGGUAUGUUUGGUCCCUCAUUUGAGUCCACCUGUGUAGGUUCGGACCCGAGGAACCGAGACCCCCAGCAGUGAGCCAGCUGCUUCAGAGUCUCUUUAGAGCUAGCCAGAGGUGAGUGGAAUACACUUUAAGUUUUAAAGCAAAUUAAUGAAAUGUUUUAGCAUGAUUCACGCAUCAUGAAUGCCAUGAGAUAUAUUAGGUUGUUUGCAUUAGAAUUCACGAAUAUGUUGCAUUGCAUACUUUGUUGUUGAUGUGGAUGAAUGUUGAAUGAUCCAUUAGCCCUUGUAUGUCAUGAUAGCCUAUGUGAGUCCAGGUGUGCCUGCUACGGCUCUACGCCCCUGGCACUAUGACAGAUUAUGGAAGUCCGGGUGUGCCUGCUACGGCUCUACGCCCCCGGCAUGUAUAAGUAAGAAAGAUAGGAGCUAAAUGGUGACAAGUUCAUCCUUGUUGUGAAAUGUUUGUGUUAUGGCGCAUACAUGAAAGCAUGAUUUAAAUUGAUGUUUUAUUAUUCUGCUCACUGGGCUCUAGUAGCUCACCCCACUCCCUUUAUCCCCAGAGUUGCAGGUACAGGAUAGAUCAGGAAGUCGGCUAGAGGGAAGUUAAGACAUGUAUGUUGUAAUAGAUAGUAGUGGACAUGAACAUGAUGUAAUGAGUAUUUAUGACCAUGUAAUGUAAUGAAUGAUUUGAUGAUGUAUUGAGGAUUAUAGUAGUGCUUGACCUAGAGGUGUGUGAAUCCCCAUUAUGUACAAAGUGUUUAAUGAGUAAUGAUGUUAAUGACCA
RNAcentral lists this long non-coding RNA (832 nucleotides) under Manihot esculenta (cassava). RNAcentral's name for it is "long non-coding RNA (MESC_LNC010220)". Lineage: Eukaryota; Viridiplantae; Streptophyta; Magnoliopsida; Malpighiales; Euphorbiaceae. The record is from RNAcentral.